RNAcentral lists this ribosomal RNA (253 nucleotides) under uncultured bacterium. RNAcentral's name for it is "partial 16S ribosomal RNA". It matches the Rfam family "Bacterial small subunit ribosomal RNA", at positions 524 to 776 of the family's 1533-position model. The record is from RNAcentral.
UACGGAGGGGGCUAGCGUUGUUCGGAAUUACUGGGCGUAAAGCGCGCGUAGGCGGGCUGUUAAGUCGGGGGUGAAAUCCCGGGGCUCAACCCCGGAACUGCCUCCGAUACUGGCAGCCUAGAGGUCGAGAGAGGUGAGUGGAAUUCCGAGUGUAGAGGUGAAAUUCGUAGAUAUUCGGAGGAACACCAGUGGCGAAGGCGGCUCACUGGCUCGAUACUGACGCUGAGGUGCGAAAGCGUGGGGAGCAAACAGG